GCCCCUAUGGCUCAGUGGCAGAGCGUUCGCCUAGUAAGCACACCUACUUACCGGUAGCGAAAGGUCCAUAGUUCGAUCCUGUGUGGGGGCA
RNAcentral lists this transfer RNA (91 nucleotides) under Rhodotorula toruloides. RNAcentral's name for it is "Rhodosporidium toruloides tRNA". It matches the Rfam family "tRNA". Rfam says of the family: Transfer RNA (tRNA) molecules are approximately 80 nucleotides in length. Their secondary structure includes four short double-helical elements and three loops (D, anti-codon, and T loops). RNAcentral also lists the same sequence under 1 other name. Lineage: Eukaryota; Fungi; Basidiomycota; Microbotryomycetes; Sporidiobolales; Sporidiobolaceae. The record is from Rfam by way of RNAcentral.